This 24-nucleotide non-coding RNA is filed under the name Arabidopsis thaliana (thale cress). Lineage: Eukaryota; Viridiplantae; Streptophyta; Magnoliopsida; Brassicales; Brassicaceae. The record is from RNAcentral.
GAAUCCGAAUAUCGAGCUGUUGCA